This 254-nucleotide ribosomal RNA is filed under the name uncultured bacterium. Its description in RNAcentral is "partial 16S ribosomal RNA". It matches the Rfam family "Bacterial small subunit ribosomal RNA", at positions 524 to 776 of the family's 1533-position model. The record is from RNAcentral.
UACAGAGGGUGCGAGCGUUGUCCGGAAUUACUGGGCGUAAAGGGCGCGUAGGUGGUGGCUUAAGCGUGCGGUGAAAGCUCGGGGCUCAACCCCGAGUCGGCCGUGCGAACUGGGCUCACUGGAGCAUAGUAGAGGCAGGUGGAAUUCCGGGUGUAGCGGUGGAAUGCGUAGAGAUCCGGAAGAACACCGGUGGCGAAGGCGGCUCACUGGCCCGAUACUGACGCUGAGGCACGAAAGCGUGGGGAGCAAACGGG